AAAGGGGCUUCGGCUCCGAGUAAAGUGGCGCACGGGUGAGUAACACGUGGGUAACCUGCCUCUAAGACUGGGAUAACUCGUCGAAAGAUGGGCUAAUACCGAAUAAGACCACAGUCCCUGCGGGGACAGGGGUCAAAGGUAGCCUCUAUUUAUAAGCUAUCACUUAGAGAUGGGCCUGCGCACCAUUAGCUAGUUGGUAGGGUAACGGCCUACCAAGGCAAAGAUGGUUAGCUGGUCUGAGAGGAUGAUCAGCCACACUGGAACUGAGACACGGUCCAGACUCCUACGGGAGGCAGCAGUGGGGAAUAUUGCGCAAUGGGCGAAAGCCUGACGCAGCAACGCCGCGUGAGUGAUGAAGGCCUUCGGG
This 367-nucleotide ribosomal RNA is filed under the name uncultured bacterium. RNAcentral describes it as "bacterial SSU rRNA". It matches the Rfam family "Bacterial small subunit ribosomal RNA", at positions 71 to 422 of the family's 1533-position model. The record is from RNAcentral.